Molecule: long non-coding RNA, 1340 nt
Organism: Lepidothrix coronata (blue-crowned manakin)
Lineage: Eukaryota; Metazoa; Chordata; Aves; Passeriformes; Pipridae
Exons: 3
Source: RefSeq, a predicted model, not a curated record
GGAAAUGGUGUCACCUGUUACCUUCACUGGAGCUGGAGACACAGUGCCUUGGACCGCUGAGGGCAACUGGAUCAUUUCCCUUCUCGGAUGCUUGGAGUGCCCCCCGUCCUGAACUCACCGCGGGCUCGUGCAGAGCAGCAAGUGACCGUGUUUAGCACCACCAGAGAACCUGAUUUUUCAGCCACAUGGCCUGAUGAUGCUCAGCCUUCAGACUCGUCAGACGGAUGCACGAGGGCCCCUGGAAGGAGCCUGGAUCACCAAGGAGGCCAAAACACCAACGUGUCACCGUCACCGCAGAGCAGCUGAAAAUGUGACAUGAUUAGAGAUCAGGGCAGUAAUGAGACAGUUUAUCUUCCCCACACAUAUGGCACUGGGUGAGCCACUGGGAAAUAAAAAAAGCUUCGAUAAAUCAUAUUGUCCCUGCCAUGGAAGCAAUAACACCAGCAACCCCAGGAAGAGGGAGAAGUUUGCUCUGACACCCAUUCCCAAGGUGUCCUGGCUGCAAGCCUGGCACUUGGAGGCCUCAUUCCUAUUGAAUUCAUUCCUGUGCUGGAGUUUGGACUGUUCUUUUAUUAUUUUAGGAGCUUUUACCCCGGGGAGCUGUUUGACUCCAUAAUGGGGUUGUUUGCUUGAGGAAGGCUGGUUUGUAAGGGGAGGCAACACGUGCAGUGCAAGGCUAGCCAAGCUUUUCCUUGCUAAAUCACCAUUUCUCACUGAAAAUACAGAUGCAAGAGACUUUAUCCAAGCCCUAAAUCCAACUGCUUUGGAGGAGCACCGAGCUGGGCUUGACGAGGAGAUGGGAGCAGGGUGGUUUGUAACCUCCACCCCAUCCCACCAGGUACUGCUGGGGGAUGGCACAGCUCUCUCUGCCCCUCCAGCAGAUCCAACUCUGCAGGACAGACCUCCAGCCAAAAGCUGCAGGUUGGACAUUCCACCUGCUCUUGCAUAAUCAAUUACUGGGGCUGAAGAAAAGAAACUCAUAACGACUUCCCACUCACACAUCGAACCCCCUACAAAUGGCUUCUUGCCCUGGUGGAACAGAAUAUUGUGAGAGCGCCAGAAAUAGGUAGCAAUCAGAUAAUGCUGCAACCCACUCCCAUCUGCCAUCAGAGAAAAAAAUCCUGCCCAAGUGAAAGCAAGGAAGAGCCGGGAGGAAUCGCCGAGUCCCGCACUGUGCCCUGGGCAUCAGCACCUGCUUCGUGUUCCACACUCUGCCCUUGGAAUGGGAUGGGCAGCACUUUUUCCCGAGCCAGGAGGAACUGCUGGUUGCAAAUGAAAGCGCUGGAAUGCUGGAAAGACAUCUGGCUGACAGAGCCAUGCGUUUCCUUUAUAAUGUGAUG